UGGACAGGUAUGCAACGUAUCUUAAAUGCU
Molecule: non-coding RNA, 30 nt
Filed under: Mus musculus (house mouse)
Lineage: Eukaryota; Metazoa; Chordata; Mammalia; Rodentia; Muridae
Source: RNAcentral